RNAcentral lists this non-coding RNA (119 nucleotides) under Pseudomonas sp. Its description in RNAcentral is "SAH sequence". It matches the Rfam family "SAH (S-adenosyl-L-homocysteine) riboswitch aptamer". The record is from RNAcentral. Lineage: Bacteria; Pseudomonadati; Pseudomonadota; Gammaproteobacteria; Pseudomonadales; Pseudomonadaceae. RNAcentral also lists the same sequence under 1 other name.
CUGUCCGAGGGGCGCUGCAGCAGGUUUACCCUGUCAGGCUCGGAUGGGGCGUUGCUCGCCAGCCUCCGGCUGCGGGCUUUAUAGGUGUAAACCUGAACGCACAACGGCGCCCAUUCAUA